RNAcentral lists this long non-coding RNA (213 nucleotides) under Gossypium barbadense (sea-island cotton). RNAcentral's name for it is "long non-coding RNA (GBAR_LNC014892)". Lineage: Eukaryota; Viridiplantae; Streptophyta; Magnoliopsida; Malvales; Malvaceae. The record is from RNAcentral.
CCGGGGCUUCAAAAAUGUAAAGAACAUUAAAAACGGGGCUUGGAAUCAGUUACUAUGGAGCUUGGAAGCAUGAAAACCCUAACUAUGGCUUCCCCCCUUGCUAAUUUCAGCCAAAUGAAGAAGAUGACCACAAUUUUCCAUCUUUUUCCCUUUUAAUUCAUUUUAAUUACCAAAUUACCAAAAUGCCCAUAACUUAAAAAUUUCCUAUUUCAC